This 253-nucleotide ribosomal RNA is filed under the name uncultured bacterium. RNAcentral's name for it is "partial 16S ribosomal RNA". It matches the Rfam family "Bacterial small subunit ribosomal RNA", at positions 524 to 776 of the family's 1533-position model. The record is from RNAcentral.
UACAGAGGGUGCAAGCGUUAAUCGGAAUUACUGGGCGUAAAGCGCGCGCAGGCGGUCCUUUAAGUCUGAUGUGAAAGCCCACGGCUCAACCGUGGAGGGUCAUUGGAAACUGGGGGACUUGAGUGCAGGAGAGAAGAGUGGAAUUCCACGUGUAGCGGUGAAAUGCGUAGAGAUGUGGAGGAACACCAGUGGCGAAGGCGACUCUUUGGCCUGUAACUGACGCUGAGGUGCGAAAGCGUGGGGAGCAAACAGG